RNAcentral lists this ribosomal RNA (329 nucleotides) under uncultured eukaryote. RNAcentral's name for it is "partial Bacterial large subunit ribosomal RNA". It matches the Rfam family "Bacterial large subunit ribosomal RNA", at positions 1 to 375 of the family's 2925-position model. The record is from RNAcentral.
GUUAAGUGACUAAGCGUAUACGGUGGAUGCCUAGGCAGUUAGAGGCGAUGAAGGACGUGUAAGUCUGCGAUAAGCUGUGGAGAGCCGACAAAAUGCUUUGACCCACAGAUUUCCGAAUGGGGAAACCCACCGCUUCGGCGGUAUCUUAUAGUGAAUACAUAGCUAUAAGAAGCGAACGAGGGGAACUGAAACAUCUAAGUACCCUGAGGAAAAGAAAUCAAACGAGAUUCUCUUAGUAGCGGCGAGCGAAAGGGGAACAGCCUGCAAGUGAUAGCAGAAGUGUUAGUGGAAUAGUCUGGAAAGUCUAGCGAUACAGGGUGAUAGCCCCG